Petromyzon marinus (sea lamprey) is the source of this 853-nucleotide long non-coding RNA. RefSeq lists it as uncharacterized. The record is from RefSeq and is a predicted model, not a curated record. NCBI's taxonomy places the organism in Eukaryota, Metazoa, Chordata, Hyperoartia, Petromyzontiformes, Petromyzontidae.
GGAGACAAAGGCGGUCGGGCGCGGUGUUGGCCACCCACCCCCCCUCGUGUCGACCUUCACAGUGUUGGCUUGCUGUUGAAGCGGACCGACAACAGCAGAAGACGACGGGGAAGGGCCGUCUGGCGCGCCACGUGUGACCCGGUGACUUCACAACUGGGCAUCCACGCGCGAGUUGACGAUCCGUUGCCGCACCGACGGAUCGUCAUCACAACAGUCCACGCAGCUGAGGAUUCUGGCGUUGUCUGGCACGUGGCCGCGCAGCACGACAUGAACCCGGCGACCCGAGUUCGAUUGCCCGGCCACGACUAAAAUGGGUGGCGAGUCGACGCCCGAACCGGUGCCGGGGCCCUCCCCACCGUGGCGCCAACCCACACCUGGCCAGCGUGAUGAAGUAUGGUCGCAGAGCAACCACGACCAAAACAGCACGGCGAGGAGAAGAGAGGCCUUCAUCCAGCAGUGGAUUGACUAAGGGCUGUGCGUUGACAGUGCACCGUUUGGCAGAGCGUUGCCGAGAAACUGCCCGGCAUCGAUGACGACACCGCACAUCUGCGAUGGCAGCGAUGGGCAACCCCGUGACCCCACGCGGCGCCCCCCCCCCCGCAUCUUCCGCCCCCCGCGAGGUCGAGCCGGCCGAGUCGGUGCCGGAGGGCGACGCCACAGAUGAUCUCGGAACACAACGGGCGGCGUUGUGGCCGGCGCCGUUGCCAAGUGCCGGGCGGGAAUAAUAUUCCAAUUGUUGCUUUGGGCGUCGAAGUCGUCGGACUGAUGCACUUCCACUCGGAAAAAUCCAAAAAUAGGCUCAGCUUGGAGCACUGCGCCGCCUCCACUGCCACCGCCUCCACCGCCACCGCCG